CAGGCUGUGAUGAUUGGCGCAGGGGUACAGACCUCAGCUGAGCCAUGGGAGCUGAAUGUAUGUUUCCUCUUUGUCCUGCAUGUGGCAGGAUGAUGGGGGCACUUACAUGAGACUGAUGCCUCACUCUGAGCCUG
This is a small nucleolar RNA of Manis javanica (Malayan pangolin), 134 nucleotides long. RefSeq annotates it as small nucleolar RNA SNORD94. The record is from RefSeq and is a predicted model, not a curated record. Lineage: Eukaryota; Metazoa; Chordata; Mammalia; Pholidota; Manidae.